RNAcentral lists this ribosomal RNA (417 nucleotides) under uncultured bacterium. RNAcentral describes it as "bacterial SSU rRNA". It matches the Rfam family "Bacterial small subunit ribosomal RNA", at positions 355 to 787 of the family's 1533-position model. The record is from RNAcentral.
UGGGGAAUAUUGGGCAAUGGGCGAAAGCCUGACCCAGCAACGCCGCGUGAAGGAAGAAGGCCCUCGGGUUGUAAACUUCUUUUAUGAGGGACGAAGAAGUGACGGUACCUCAUGAAUAAGCCACGGCUAACUACGUGCCAGCAGCCGCGGUAAUACGUAGGUGGCAAGCGUUAUCCGGAUUUACUGGGUGUAAAGGGCGUGUAGGCGGGACUGCAAGUCAGAUGUGAAAUUCCAGGGCUCAACCCUGGAACUGCAUUUGAAACUGUGGUUCUUGAGUGAUGGAGAGGCAGGCGGAAUUCCGUGUGUAGCGGUGAAAUGCGUAGAUAUACGGAGGAACACCAGUGGCGAAGGCGGCCUGCUGGACAUUAACUGACGCUGAGGCGCGAAAGCGUGGGGAGCAAACAGGAUUAGAUACCC